RNAcentral lists this ribosomal RNA (440 nucleotides) under uncultured bacterium. RNAcentral describes it as "partial 16S ribosomal RNA". It matches the Rfam family "Bacterial small subunit ribosomal RNA", at positions 338 to 795 of the family's 1533-position model. The record is from RNAcentral.
CCUACGGGUGGCAGCAGUGGGGAAUAUUGCACAAUGGGGGAAAGCCUGAUGCAGCGACGCCGCGUGAGUGAAGAAGUAUUUCGGUAUGUAAAGCUCUAUCAUCAGGGAAGAACAUGACAGUACCUGACCCAGAAGCACCGGCUAACUACGUACCAGCAGCCGCGGUAAUACGUAGGGGGCAACGGUUAUCCGGAUUUACUGGGUGUAAAGGGAGCGUAGACGGUUAUGUAAGUCUGGAGUGAAAGCCCGGGGCCGAACCCCGGGACGGCUGUGGAAACUGGGUAACUGGAGUGCAGGAGGGGCAGGCGGAAUUCCUGGUGUAGCGGUGAAAUGCGUAGAGAUCAGGAGGAACACCGGCGGCGAAGGCGGCCUGCUGGACUGAAACUGACGUUGAGGCUCGAAAGCGUGGGGAGCAAACAGGAUUAGAUACCCCAGUAGUC